Molecule: ribosomal RNA, 254 nt
Filed under: uncultured bacterium
Lineage: Bacteria
Description: partial 16S ribosomal RNA
Rfam family: Bacterial small subunit ribosomal RNA
Source: RNAcentral
UACGUAGGGGUCUAGCGUUGUCCGGAAUUAUUGGGCGUAAAGAGCUCGUAGGCGGUUCGGCAAGUCGGAUGUGAAAUCUCCACGCUUAACGUGGAGGGGCCAUUCGAAACUGCCGUGACUCGAGUCCGGUAGGGGAGUGCGGAAUUCCCGGUGUAGCGGUGAAAUGCGCAGAUAUCGGGAGGAACACCAAUGGCGAAGGCAGCUCGCUGGGACGUGACUGACGCUGAGACGCGAAAGCGUGGGGAGCAAACAGG